GAUGAACGCUGGCGGCGUGCCUAAUACAUGCAAGUCGAGCGAACGGACGAGAAGCUUGCUUCUCUGAUGUUAGCGGCGGACGGGUGAGUAACACGUGGAUAACCUACCUAUAAGACUGGGAUAACUUCGGGAAACCGUAGCUAAUACCGGAUAAUAUUUUGAACCGUAUGGUUCAAAAGUGAAAGACGGUCUUGCUGUCACUUAUAGAUGGAUCCGCGCUGCAUUAGCUAGUUGGUAAGGUAACGGCUUACCAAGGCAACGAUGCAUAGCCGACCUGAGAGAGUGAUCGGCGACCCUGGAACUGGGACACGGUCCAGACUCCUACGGGAGGCAGCAGUAGGGAAUCUUCCGCAAUGGGCGAAAGCCUGACGGAGCAACGCCGCGUGAGUGAUGAAGGUCUUCGGAUCGUAAAACUCUGUUAUUAGGGAAGAACAUAUGUGUAAGUAACUGUGCACAUCUUGACGGUACCUAAUCAGAAAGCCACGGCUAACUACGUG
Molecule: ribosomal RNA, 497 nt
Filed under: uncultured bacterium
Lineage: Bacteria
Description: partial 16S ribosomal RNA
Rfam family: Bacterial small subunit ribosomal RNA
Source: RNAcentral